ACUAACAAAGGAUUCCCUAGUAACGGCGAGUGAAGUGGGAAAAGCUCAACUUUGAAAUCUGGCAGCUUCGCUGUCCGAGUUGUAGUCUCGAGAAGUGUUUCCGCGUUGAUGCAUGUAUGAGUCUGUUGGAACACAGCGUCAUAGAGGGUGACAACCCCGUUCAUGCCAUGCCUUUCAAUGCUCUGUGAUACACUUUCGAUGAGUCGAGUUGUUUGGGAAUGCAGCUCAAAGCGGGUGGUAAAUUCCAUCUAAAGCUAAAUAUUGGCGGGAGACCGAUAGCAAACAAGUACCGUGAGGGAAAGAUGAAAAGCACUUUGGAAAGAGAGUUAAAAGUACGUGAAAUUGUCGAAAGGGAAACGCUUGAAGUCGGACGUGCAGGCAACUGCAGGCCAACAUCGGUUUCAGUAGUCGGAUAAAGGCAGAGAAAGGUAGCAGCUCCGGCUGUGUUAUAGUCUCUAGCUCAAUACGGAUACAGAGACCGAGGACCGCAGCGAAAGCUUAGGAUGUUGGUGGAACGGCUUUAAACGACCCGUCUUGAAACACGGACCAAGGAGUCUAACAUGCUUGCGAGUGUUUGGGUGUCAAACCCAUGCGCGUAAUGAAAGUGAAUGGAGGUGGGAUCCGCAAGGAGCACCAUCGACCGGUCCGGACGUUUACCGAAGGAUCUGAGUAAGAGCACGUAUGUUGGGACCCGAAAGAUGGUGAACUAUGCCUGAAUAGGGUGAAGCCAGAGGAAACUCUGGUGGAGGCUCGUAGCGGUUCUGACGUGCAAAUCGAUCGUCAAAUUUGGGGUAUAGGGGGCGAAAAGACUAAUCGAACCAUC
Molecule: ribosomal RNA, 823 nt
Filed under: Microsporomyces sp. 2 HNN-2023
Lineage: Eukaryota; Fungi; Basidiomycota; Cystobasidiomycetes; Cystobasidiales; Microsporomycetaceae
Description: partial large subunit ribosomal RNA
Rfam family: Eukaryotic large subunit ribosomal RNA
Source: RNAcentral